Molecule: ribosomal RNA, 492 nt
Filed under: uncultured bacterium
Lineage: Bacteria
Description: partial 16S ribosomal RNA
Rfam family: Bacterial small subunit ribosomal RNA
Source: RNAcentral
AGUGAACGCUGGCGGUAGGCCUAACACAUGCAAGUCGAACGGCAGCACAGUAAGAGCUUGCUCUUACGGGUGGCGAGUGGCGGACGGGUGAGGAAUACAUCGGAAUCUACUUUUUCGUGGGGGAUAACGUAGGGAAACUUACGCUAAUACCGCAUACGACCUACGGGUGAAAGCAGGGGAUCUUCGGACCUUGCGCGAUUGAAUGAGCCGAUGUCGGAUUAGCUAGUUGGCGGGGUAAAGGCCCACCAAGGCGACGAUCCGUAGCUGGUCUGAGAGGAUGAUCAGCAACACUGGAACUGAGACACGGUCCAGACUCCUACGGGAGGCAGCAGUGGGGAAUAUUGGACAAUGGGCGCAAGCCUGAUCCAGCCAUACCGCGUGGGUGAAGAAGGCCUUCGGGUUGUAAAGCCCUUUUGUUGGGAAAGAAAAACAGCAGGUUAAUACCCCGCUGUUCUGACGGUACCCAAAGAAUAAGCACCGGCUAACUUCGUG